Molecule: long non-coding RNA, 868 nt
Organism: Syngnathus typhle (broad-nosed pipefish)
Lineage: Eukaryota; Metazoa; Chordata; Actinopteri; Syngnathiformes; Syngnathidae
Exons: 3
Source: RefSeq, a predicted model, not a curated record
GCUGCUUCAUCAGCAUGUUGUUUUGCACUCCUCCUUCUCCUGUGAUCUCUUCCAGGCAGUCGCGAAGCGCCGAGCGAAAGAGACGAGGCAACUCGUAGACUUCCGGCUCCAUCUGGGACACCAGCCUCCUGAAUCUGAAGACCGCACUGGGCGGGCGGCACCUUGGCGCAGAGAUCCUGCAACUCCAGCAAGUCAUUAGGCGUCAGUUGGUAAGGUUGCGGGUUGGGCGUGCUGGCCAGCCAGCUGUAAUCCGCCGCCGCCGCCGUAGAAUUGCAAAUGUUGCUACGGUGGCGCCGCCGACCCUCGCAGGCCCGCUCCAGGCGGAUGCGCUCGGUGCGCUUCACCAUAGCGCCCAGCUCCAGCAUCAGCGUGUUGGUAACCAGCUCCUCGCUGGUGCGCUGGCCUGGCACUUUGGGCUCCAGGGAGAAGAUGGCUGACCAAGGAAACAUCUGGUGUUCCCAACUGAAUUCCUCUCGCUAGCAGCGUGACAGCUGGCAGGCUUCCAUGAAGCUCCUCACCCGGAUGCCUCUCUUCUGCUGUCAGUAGGGUUUGGGGAUUGACAAUGAACAGAAUAGUAAUCCUGUCGUGAGAAAGAGUGGAGGAUGAGAUGAGCUUAGGCGUGCACACACACUGGAGGUGACCCAUGAGUGAGAAAACAUUUUUGGAGUUCUCUCUCUCAUUUAUGUGUGUGACUGAAAAGAAAUAAGGAUUCUCACUAAAGGUGGUUCCUCCGUGGUGGAUUGAAACUUUCUAUUUCACAUUGUCAUAAUAUUGAAUCAUAAGUGAAAGAUAUUCCAAACCAGACAUUUGUUAUAAAUUACAAUAAAGCCCAAUUUGCUGAUUGGUAAAUCUUUUUUCAAACCUUUGU